Long non-coding RNA from Nematostella vectensis (starlet sea anemone), 1647 nucleotides. RefSeq lists it as uncharacterized. The transcript is spliced from 3 exons. The record is from RefSeq and is a predicted model, not a curated record. NCBI's taxonomy places the organism in Eukaryota, Metazoa, Cnidaria, Anthozoa, Actiniaria, Edwardsiidae.
ACUCUUACUCACUUUCCCGCCAUUUUCAACAAGAGUUCGAAAAACCCAAGCGAUAUUUUCGGACUUACACGUACACCGUGAGCGAGUUUAAAACCCUUUGGAUAUUUUAAAAGGACUCCAAGGAACUCAGGCUUUGCUUUGGCUUGAAGCUUGUGCCACAGAUGAUAGAAGACUCCUAAGAAGUCACUAUUUAGAUGAAGGUAUUGGCACCUAAUCUUGUCCAGGACCUAUUCUCAAUCACAUGGAAAUAAUGUCAAAUAUUUAUAUAAACAAUAAAGAACAAGCAGAAAGUGACACAUCGAGUCGAAGAAACAACGUAGAUAUUCCUGAUACAAGACAACAGCGUGACCCAGGACACUGUAGACUUCAAUUAAGUAAGUACUAUUGUACAAAUCUCAGUCAUAACAUUAUGUAAUAAUUAAUAAUUAAUGGACUUUUUUAUACAUUGUGAAGUAAAAGUGAUAUUCAUCAAGCUACAAGAAAUCGCUUCUGUAAAAACAUUUCAAUGCAAUAUCAUAAGUUUAGUUUUGCACUGCUGAGUUAUCCUUUGUCCAUGAUCUUUUCUCAAGAAUCCCGUCAACUGUGUACAUUGUGUUUUUUUAACUGUUUGAAUAUUUGAAUUAUUAAUUUAAACCAUGUGCUUCACUGAAAUCAUUAUGUCAAUUGUAACGUUAUUAAUUAUCUGAUUACUUUGCAAGAUUACCCCAAAAAGAUUUCUGAAUGCCAUUACAAAACUUGUGUUUUCGCAUUUUCUGAAAAUAAUAAAUUGAGCAAAGGUUCAUUAGCGUCGUCAAAACCUUUUAACAUAUAGAGGUUAAUCUAGACAUUGCUAUAUUCAGCUGCUCAAUACAGUUUUCAUUUUUAUCAACUCAAGUUCUAUUUAAUGAAUAUUCACCGAUUUCACAAUUGUCUCUUAUGUACUUCAAGUCAAAAUACAACAUUAAUAGCAGACACUCAAAUUGAAUAAUCCCAGUGUUUAUAUAAUGCUAUUACCGUAUUCACACUCAGCCAUUUUCAGUAUUCCACUGCUCCAAUUUCCUUUAUAUCGUUUAGCGAUAUAACGAUAUUUUUCUUAAAAAAUCUUAUGAAAAGCACAAUGUUUACCACAUGUCUUCAUACACUAGCUAUCUUCACCUCAUUACCACGAAAUGAUCAAGUAAGCCAUGACAGUAAGGUCAAUCCAAAUUCCCCAGUUGGUGGUUACAUACCAGAAUUUCUGGAAAAAUAUAAAAUCUUAAAUAGAUAUCAGAUCGGCCAACCAUUAUCAGUCGACCGACCAUUUAUUAGUACUAAAAACCCUAAUUGACUCUUAUAAAUCAAGCCACAAACCACUUUUUGCUUGUUUUAUCGACUUUAAAAAAGCAUGGACAGUGUCUUGAGAGAGUGUUUGCUUUACAAACUAAUAAUUGGGUGAUACAAGAAAGCAGUAUACACCUGCUGUGACAUGGACAAGAUUGCAUUAUGAAUAUUUGCAUGUUUCACUCCAUUUUAUACGCUACUGGUGAGAGCUGCUUGUAUUUUAAGGGAGUUAGAAAGAAUAAACUCGAAAGCCUGCAAACCCAAGAUAAUGGGCUGUCUGUCCAAACGAUACAAGUGUCUAGAGUUUGUCCUUGAGCUUUACAAAUUGUUAGUGCGUACGCAGGAAUA